CCGGACCACGCUUACAUGAGAAGAGAAAUUGGGAAAUACUGCUAUUUAUUAAUUGGACUUUCGUCCGCUGCUCUUCUCUUUAACACACUGCAGCAUUCCUUUUGGGAUAUUGUGGGAGAAAACCUCACAAAACGUGUGAGAGAGAAGAUGCUGACAGCUGUGCUGAAAAACGAAAUGGCAUGGUUUGAUCAAGAGGAAAAUGAGAGUGCUAGGAUUUCUGCAAGGCUGGCUCUUGAUGCCAACAAUGUCAGAUCAGCUAUAGGAGAUCGCAUUUCAGUGAUUGUGCAGAACACGGCUCUCAUGUUAGUUGCCUGCACUGCCGGCUUUGUUUUGCAGUGGCGCCUUGCCCUUGUCCUAAUUGCAGUCUUCCCUGUGGUUGUAGCAGCAACUGUUUUGCAGGUUUGUUUCUAAAAUUAAUCCCUUGCACAUGCAUGCUGUCAUCGAAGAAUGCUUGCUGACAGUUGAUAUAAGUUAUGUCGAAACCAUUGUUAGCAUGUGAUAGUUUUAUGGUUGUUUGAAUUGUAUGCUAAAACCAACUUCUAUCUGCUUCUUGGGCUAAAUAUGAUCCACAACUACACAAUUUCAGAUGAUAUCAAGUUAUUAAUUAUAUUUGUUGGAUUUUCAACAGAAAAUGUUUAUGAAAGGUUUCUCAGGAGAUUUAGAAGCUGCUCAUGCCAAGGCUACGCAACUAGCUGGGGAGGCUAUUGCCAAUGUAAGAACUGUUGCUGCCUUCAAUUCAGAGAACAAAAUUGUUGGCCUAUUCUCUUCAAGCCUUCAAACUCCAUUGAGGCGCUGCUUCUGGAAGGGUCAAAUUGCGGGAAGUGGAUUUGGUGUAGCUCAGUUUUCACUAUAUGCUUCUUAUGCUCUUGGUCUUUGGUAUGCUUCCUGGCUUGUGAAGCAUGGGAUCUCUGAUUUUUCAAAGACAAUCCGAGUCUUUAUGGUUCUCAUGGUUUCCGCCAAUGGUGCAGCUGAAACAUUAACCCUGGCUCCUGACUUCAUCAAGGGAGGUCGAGCCAUGCGGUCGGUCUUUGAUCUUCUUGACCGUAAAACUGAGAUAGAGCCUGAUGACCCUGAUGCCACACAAGUUCCAG
RNAcentral lists this long non-coding RNA (1091 nucleotides) under Gossypium barbadense (sea-island cotton). Its description in RNAcentral is "long non-coding RNA (GBAR_LNC008493)". Lineage: Eukaryota; Viridiplantae; Streptophyta; Magnoliopsida; Malvales; Malvaceae. The record is from RNAcentral.